AAGAGAGUUGUAGGGUGGCCUACGGUUGGUUUGAAGUCAAUGAAUGUGGGUUCGAUUCCCGCCUCUCUUG
This 70-nucleotide transfer RNA is filed under the name Draco maculatus. Its description in RNAcentral is "tRNA-Ser". It matches the Rfam family "tRNA". Rfam says of the family: Transfer RNA (tRNA) molecules are approximately 80 nucleotides in length. Their secondary structure includes four short double-helical elements and three loops (D, anti-codon, and T loops). Lineage: Eukaryota; Metazoa; Chordata; Lepidosauria; Squamata; Agamidae. The record is from RNAcentral.